UACGUAGGGGGCUAGCGUUGUCCGGAAUCAUUGGGCGUAAAGCGCGCGUAGGCGGCCCGGUAAGUCCGCUGUGAAAGUCAAAGGCUCAACCUUUGAAUGUCAGCGGAUACUGCCGGGCUAGAGUCCGGAAGAGGCGAGUGGAAUUCCUGGUGUAGCGGUGAAAUGCGCAGAUAUCAGGAGGAACACCGAUGGCGAAGGCAGCUCACUGGGACGGUACUGACGCUGAGACGCGAAAGCGUGGGGAGCAAACAGG
This 253-nucleotide ribosomal RNA is filed under the name uncultured bacterium. RNAcentral describes it as "partial 16S ribosomal RNA". It matches the Rfam family "Bacterial small subunit ribosomal RNA", at positions 524 to 776 of the family's 1533-position model. The record is from RNAcentral.